GACGGGUGAGUAAUGUCUCGGGAAACUGCCUGAUGGAGGGGGAUAACUACUGGAAACGGUAGCUAAUACCGCAUAACGUCGCAAGACCAAAGAGGGGGACCUUCGGGCCUCUUGCCAUCAGAUGUGCCCAGAUGGGAUUAGCUAGUAGGUGGGGUAAUGGCUCACCUAGGCGACGAUCCCUAGCUGGUCUGAGAGGAUGACCAGCCACACUGGAACUGAGACACGGUCCAGACUCCUACGGGAGGCAGCAGUGGGGAAUAUUGCACAAUGGGCGCAAGCCUGAUGCAGCCAUGCCGCGUGUGUGAAGAAGGCCUUCGGGUUGUAAAGCACUUUCAGCGAGGAGGAAGGUGGUGAACUUAAUACGUUCAUCCAUUGACGUUACUCGCAGAAGAAGCACCGGCUAACUCCGUGCCAGCAGCCGCGGUAAUACGGAGGGUGCAAGCGUUAAUCGGAAUUACUGGGCGUAAAGCGCACGCAGGCGGUUUGUUAAGUCAGAUGUGAAAUCCCCGGGCUCAACCUGGGAACUGCAUUUGAUACUGGCAAGCUAGAGUCUCGUAGAGGGGGGUAGAAUUCCAGGUGUAGCGGUGAAAUGCGUAGAGAUCUGGAGGAAUACCGGUGGCGAAGGCGGCCCCCUGGACGAAGACUGACGCUCAGGUGCGAAAGCGUGUGGAGCAAACAGGAUUAGAUACCCUGGUAGUCCACGCUGUAAACGAUGU
RNAcentral lists this ribosomal RNA (716 nucleotides) under soil bacterium Cipr-S1N-M1LLLSSL-3. RNAcentral describes it as "bacterial SSU rRNA". It matches the Rfam family "Bacterial small subunit ribosomal RNA", at positions 100 to 812 of the family's 1533-position model. The record is from RNAcentral.